This 274-nucleotide ribosomal RNA is filed under the name uncultured bacterium. Its description in RNAcentral is "partial 16S ribosomal RNA". It matches the Rfam family "Bacterial small subunit ribosomal RNA", at positions 523 to 796 of the family's 1533-position model. The record is from RNAcentral.
ACACGUAAGGGGCAAGCGUUGUUCGGAAUUAUUGGGCGUAAAGGGCGCGUAGGCGGUUUUACAAGUCUGGUGAGAAAGAUCUCAGCUUAACUGAGGGACCGCGCUGGAAACUGUAAGACUAGAAUCUAGGAGGGGAAGCUGGAAUUCCUGGUGUAGGGGUGAAAUCUGUAGAUAUCAGGAAGAACACCGGUGGCGAAGGCGAGCUUCUGGCCAUAGAUUGACGCUGAGGCGCGAAAGCGUGGGGAGCGAACAGGAUUAGAAACCCUAGUAGUCC